GAGGGUAUAGCUCAGUGGCAGAGUGGGUGUUUAGCAUGCACGAAGCCCUGGAUUCAAUCCCCAGUACUUCCA
Molecule: transfer RNA, 72 nt
Organism: Camelus ferus (Wild Bactrian camel)
Lineage: Eukaryota; Metazoa; Chordata; Mammalia; Artiodactyla; Camelidae
Rfam family: tRNA
About the family: Transfer RNA (tRNA) molecules are approximately 80 nucleotides in length.
Source: Rfam